GAUGAACGCUGGCGGCGUGCCUAAUACAUGCAAGUCGAGCGAACGGACGAGAAGCUUGCUUCUCUGAUGUUAGCGGCGGACGGGUGAGUAACACGUGGAUAACCUACCUAUAAGACUGGGAUAACUUCGGGAAACCGGAGCUAAUACCGGAUAAUAUUUUGAACCGCAUGGUUCAAUAGUGAAAGACGGUCUUGCUGUCACUUAUAGAUGGAUCCGCGCUGCAUUAGCUAGUUGGUAAGGUAACGGCUUACCAAGGCAACGAUGCAUAGCCGACCUGAGAGGGUGAUCGGCCACACUGGAACUGAGAAAAGGUCCAGACUCCUACGGGAGGCAGCAGUAGGGAAUCUUCCGCAAUGGGCGAAAGCCUGAAGGAGCAAAGCCGCGUGAGUGAUGAAGGUCUUCGGAUCGUAAAACUCUGUUAUUAGGGAAGAACAUAUGUGGAAGGAACUGUGCACAGCUUGACGGUACCUAAUCAGAAAGCCAAGGCUAAAUAAGUG
Molecule: ribosomal RNA, 497 nt
Filed under: uncultured bacterium
Lineage: Bacteria
Description: partial 16S ribosomal RNA
Rfam family: Bacterial small subunit ribosomal RNA
Source: RNAcentral